This is a long non-coding RNA of Rhagoletis zephyria (snowberry fruit fly), 1285 nucleotides long. RefSeq lists it as uncharacterized. Lineage: Eukaryota; Metazoa; Arthropoda; Insecta; Diptera; Tephritidae. The record is from RefSeq and is a predicted model, not a curated record.
AAUGUGAAAAAAACACAAACUAUUAUUGAAAAUGUUUGCCCAAAAGGCGAUCAACAUACAAAUACAGUAGCUUGACGAUUUGUAUACCAAGGAAAAGUAACAAAAAAAAUCAGAAUGAGACAAUUACGCACUAACAUCAAAGAAAAUUGCUUUAAUUUCCACAUAGCCCCUCCUUUGUCGACGUGCCAUCAUCUUCUUCAAUCGCUGCUGGGCUGCUUUUCCGGUUGUAAGGUGCUAUAAAUGUGGGCAACGUCAUUUCCACUGGGCGAAUGCGAGUACAUACAUAUGUACAUACAUACGUAUAAAUAUCUAUAUAUGCUGGAAGGGCGAAAAAGCAAGCAAGCGGCGGACGGACCUACACUUGAAUGAGUCACACUCGUCAGUAUGAGGAAAAAAUGCAGUCGGCUAUGGCAUUGAGCAAUGAUGUGUGUGAAAUACUAAAAAAGAACGAAAAAUUACUCUUUGCAAAAUAUAAUUAACAAUUCAAGAUCGCCUAGUCAGGUUGGUGUUAUUAAAGAAAACACAAUCGGAAAAUAAAGAAAACCAUUCCCUUCAAUAUUACUGCACAACACAAAAAAAUACAAAGCUCUGACAAUGGAUUCGGCGUAGGAAAACAUGCGACGAAUAAGAUUUUUGGGUACAUAUUAAUCCUAUAACUCGUCAAUAGAAGGGCCUUUUUUGUCCCUAGUUUAUAAAAGGGCAAAAAAUACACAUACAUAAAACACGGGUAUAACAGAUCCAGGACUUUGCAGGCGAUCAGUUGGAAAUAAAAGUGAAGGAAACGCAAAUAUUUUUGACAGCUGAAGUCGGCUCACAGCAUUGCAUGAAAAUAGGCUGAAAUGCAGCCAGAACACAAAAGCUAGACGGAAAUAACAAAAUUCUUUAACGACGUCAGCAUCUUAUUGUCAAGAUAGUGGACCAAAUGACACCACAAGGGAAGUAUGGAUUACUCUAUACAUACAUUUGUGUUCAGAAAAUGUCCGAAAAGACAAAUUUUAUUAUACAGCCUUAAGAAUUAUGACUGGAAUGUUUUGCAACUCACAUGCCUGAAAGGACAACUAGAAAAUGGUGGGCUUAUCUGGCGAAAUGCUUAAGUUUGAUGACUGCAAUGAAUUCAAUAAUAUUUGUCGCAAUUUUUCAAAAGACGGACGUUGUUUGUUUCCCCUCCAUGAUCAAGAAGAGAGUAUGGCGGUUUGAACUGCGAUUUUGUAGUCCAGAGCGGUUGUGAAAGUGAAAUUCGUAUUAUGAGCAAUGCAAACGUGUCGAAAUUUUCGUUGAGUAUGGA